This 252-nucleotide ribosomal RNA is filed under the name uncultured bacterium. RNAcentral describes it as "partial 16S ribosomal RNA". It matches the Rfam family "Bacterial small subunit ribosomal RNA", at positions 524 to 776 of the family's 1533-position model. The record is from RNAcentral.
UACGUAGGGGGCGAGCGUUGUCCGGAUUUAUUGGGCGUAAAGGGUGCGUAGGCGGCCUUGUAAGUCAGAUGUGAAAGAUCAUGGCUUAACUGUGGUAAGCAUUUGAAACUGCAGGGCUUGAGUACAGGAGAGGAGAGUGGAAUUCCUAGUGUAGCGGUGAAAUGCGUAGAUAUUAGGAGGAAUACCAGUGGCGAAGGCGACUCUCUGGACUGAUACUGACGCUGAGGCACGAAAGCGUGGGGAGCCAACAGG